Molecule: long non-coding RNA, 443 nt
Organism: Brassica rapa (field mustard)
Lineage: Eukaryota; Viridiplantae; Streptophyta; Magnoliopsida; Brassicales; Brassicaceae
Source: RefSeq, a predicted model, not a curated record
UCUAAAAUAUAAUAGAACUCUCAAACAAUUUAUAAAACAUCCUACAAAAUGAGUCUCUCCAAAAAAUAUAUAUUAAUCGCAUUUGUUUUCACUCUUUUUUUCGCGAUGUCAAUUGUUCGCUGCACCGAUAUUGUUUCAGAUUUCGGAGUAAAGUAUAAUGUGUGCUAUGGUCCAUGUGACGACAAAGGAAAGUGUUGGCCGUAUUGUCAUACCAAAAAAGGUCUGAUAAGUGGAGACUGUGUGUCUGGCAUUUGUUGUUGUGAUGAACACUAAAUAAAAUAUUAAAUAAUAUCAUUAGAUAUUAUAUUUUGUAUGAAAUGAAAUAAUAUUACGAAUAAUACAUAAAAUGCUUUUACAAAAAAAAAUGUUAUCAAAUUGAAAUUACUUUGAUUAACCUCGAGAAAACAUUAGUCAAAGUUUCAUGUCUUUUCUUAAAAAAAACA